GCCCAUAUCGCAUAAUGGUAUUGCACCGGAUUGCUAAUCCGGACCCUUCGGGGUGCCCAGGUUCGAUUCCUGGUGUGGGCG
Molecule: transfer RNA, 81 nt
Filed under: Candidatus Pacearchaeota archaeon
Lineage: Archaea; Nanobdellati
Description: tRNA-Ser
Rfam family: tRNA
About the family: Transfer RNA (tRNA) molecules are approximately 80 nucleotides in length. Their secondary structure includes four short double-helical elements and three loops (D, anti-codon, and T loops).
Source: RNAcentral